RNAcentral lists this ribosomal RNA (499 nucleotides) under uncultured bacterium. RNAcentral describes it as "bacterial SSU rRNA". It matches the Rfam family "Bacterial small subunit ribosomal RNA", at positions 8 to 503 of the family's 1533-position model. The record is from RNAcentral.
AGAGUUUGAUCCUGGCUCAGAUUGAACGCUGGCGGCAUGCUUUACACAUGCAAGUCGAACGGCAGCACGGGGGCAACCCUGGUGGCGAGUGGCGAACGGGUGAGGAAUACAUCGGAACGUGUCUUUAAGUGGGGGAUAACGCAUCGAAAGGUGUGCUAAUACCGCAUAAUCUCUGAGGAGAAAAGCAGGGGAUCGCAAGACCUUGCGCUUUUGGAGCGGCCGAUGCCUGAUUAGCUUGUUGGUAAGGUAAAAGCUUACCAAGGCUUCGAUCAGUAGCUGGUCUGAGAGGACGGCCAGCCACACUGGGACUGAGACACGGCCCAGACUCCUACGGGAGGCAGCAGUGGGGAAUUUUGGACAAUGGGGGCAACCCUGAUCCAGCCAUGCCGCGUGAGUGAAGAAGGCCUUCGGGUUGUAAAGCUCUUUCAGCCGGAACGAAACGGUUACGGUUAAUACCCGUGACUACUGACGGUACCGGAAGAAGAAGCACCGCUAACUA